Small nuclear RNA from Neoarius graeffei (lesser salmon catfish), 164 nucleotides. RefSeq annotates it as U1 spliceosomal RNA. Lineage: Eukaryota; Metazoa; Chordata; Actinopteri; Siluriformes; Ariidae. The transcript has a single exon. The record is from RefSeq and is a predicted model, not a curated record.
CUUCUGUUGUAGCCAAGGUUAGAUAUGAUCAAGUGGGUGGUUUGCCCAAAGUGAGGCCCAGACAUUGCACUCAGGCUGUGCUGACCUUUUGCGAAUUCCUCAAAUGCAGGAAUCUCGACUGCAUAAUUUCUGAUAGUGGAGGACUGCGUUCAUGCUCUCCUCUU